AUGCUCAGAAAAUCACAAACCACCUACCUGGCAAAGCACGGUCUUCAGAAGAUUUUGUCCAUAGUGUUUUUUUUAUUAUUAUUUUUUAACCUAAAAGCUGACCAGGAACUGGAGGGAGGAAGUUUAGCUUAUGCAUUUCAUAGGUCUUUAAUGGACAUUUUAUUACUGACUGUAAUGUGUCUUGUCAUUUCUUUCCUCCCCAAUAGACUAAUGGAGAGAAAGUGUACAGCUUGGUGUGACGAUUUUGAGUCUCGACUACGACUUCUGGAGAACUGCAACAGAGCAUUUCCUGGAAGGGUCACCCAAAAAGAGCCUGAGGACAAAGAAGAAAAUCGGAAGAUGAAAGAGAAGAUCAAACAACUAAAGGCACGAAACCAUGAGCUCUUGUCUAAAUUGAUGAGCAUGCACAAGCAAUCAGAGAACAUGAAUGACCCUUCACGCUUGUCUGCUGUGCUGCAUUCGUAUGAGAUGGUUAGGCUACAUGACUGGGAAAAAUGCAGGAAAUCCUCAACGAAUAUGACAUAUACAAAUGGCAGAAGCAUAAUUAAGAAGCUGUUUGAUGCCUGUGAGGAAUAUAUAGAGAAGAGAAAAAAUGACAUAUUUAACGUCCUUGACAUUUCAUCUUCGAAUUACGCUUACGAAUCUCAGGAAUUUGCCAACUGCAAACAAGAGCUGAUGCCAAUUGUAACGGAACUCUUACGAAAUGCCUAUUGCCAACGUUACUCAGACUUUAACAAAAUCAUUACUGAGGUAAGUAAAGACACAGCCCAGAAACAGGGGCAAAGAUUCAGUUUUCUGGUUAUGUCUGCGCAGUUUGGUACAAAACAGGACAGGUCUUUCUUCUGCUUGGAGUUAUUUUCCACUUGUAGAGAGGGUCUUCUAGCCCGUAUACUCCCAUAUAUUCCCCCAGGCAUGCACAGAGAUACAUGUAACCUCCCCAAAACUGCAUCAGGAGCAGUGAGGAAUGGCAGGAGAGGCAGGGCGGUGCCCUCCCUAACAAGGGUGCAGUCCUACCAGGUGAGCAGAGCAGGGCUGGUGAUGGUGAUCAGGGUCAGUCACAGAGUAGCGAUCACCAGGCAAGCCCACAGUGAUGGGGCAAGAUGA
Molecule: long non-coding RNA, 1104 nt
Filed under: Anser brachyrhynchus (Pink-footed goose)
Lineage: Eukaryota; Metazoa; Chordata; Aves; Anseriformes; Anatidae
Description: lncRNA (ENSABRG00000005162.1)
Source: RNAcentral